Molecule: ribosomal RNA, 448 nt
Filed under: uncultured eukaryote
Lineage: Eukaryota
Description: partial 18S ribosomal RNA
Rfam family: Eukaryotic small subunit ribosomal RNA
Source: RNAcentral
CGGGUACUAUGUUUGGAAUGAGUACAAUUUAAAAACCUUAACGAGGAACAAUUGGAGGGCAAGUCUGGUGCCAGCAGCCGCGGUAAUUCCAGCUCCAAUAGUGUAUAUUAAAGUUGCUGCGGUUAAAAAGCUCGUAGUUGGAUUUCGGAGUUGUUAUCUGAACCUUCUCGCCCUAAAAAGUGGGGGGGGCUAAGGUAGCAGUAGUUUUCAUCAUAGUCCAUCAGGAUACUCUCUUGAUGUGUACUGGGUGUUAACCUCCUUUUUUUCUGGUACUUGCUAUCCAGCAAUGGGUAGUUUUGUCCAGAUAGUUUACUUUGAAAAAAUUAGAGUGUUCAAAGCAGGCAUAAUUGGCAUCAUGAAUACAUUAGCAUGGGAUAAUAGAAUAUGACAUUGGUCUUAUUUUGUUGGUUUCUAAGGCCAAAGUAAUGAUUGAUAGGGAUAGUUGGGG